RNAcentral lists this ribosomal RNA (777 nucleotides) under uncultured archaeon. Its description in RNAcentral is "bacterial SSU rRNA". It matches the Rfam family "Archaeal small subunit ribosomal RNA", at positions 81 to 859 of the family's 1478-position model. The record is from RNAcentral.
GCGAAUAGCCCAGUAACACGUGGCCAAACUACCCUUCGGAGCACCAUCCUCGGGAAACUGAGGCUAAUAGUGCAUCCCGCACUCACCCUGGAAUGGCGAGUGCGUCAAACGCUCCGGCGCCGAAGGAUGUGGCUGCGGCCGAUUAGGUAGACGGUGGGGUAACGGCCCACCGUGCCGAUAAUCGGUACGGGUCAUGAGAGUGAGAACCCGGAGACGGAAUCUGAGACAAGAUACCGGGCCCUACGGGGCGCAGCAGGCGCGAAACCUUUACACUGCACGACAGUGCGAUAGGGGGAUUCCGAGUGCGAGGGCAUAUAGCCCUCGCUUUUCUGGACCGUAAGGAGGUCCAGGAACAAGGGCCGGGCAAGACCGGUGCCAGCCGCCGCGGUAAUACCGGCAGCCCGAGUGAUGGCCGAUAUUAUUGGGCCUAAAGCGUCCGUAGCCGGCCGGGCAAGUCCGUUGGGAAAUCCACGCGCUCAACGCGUGGGCGUCCAGCGGAAACUGUUCGGCUUGGGGCCGGAGGACUCGAGGGGUACGUCCGGGGUAGGAGUGAAAUCCCGUAAUCCUGGACGGACCACCGGUGGCGAAAGCGCCUCGAGAGGACGGACCCGACGGUGAGGGACGAAAGCCAGGGUCUCGAACCGGAUUAGAUACCCGGGUAGUCCUGGCCGUAAACGAUGUCUGCUAGGUGUGGCGCAGGCUACGAGCCUGCGCUGUGCCGCAGGGAAGCCGAGAAGCAGACCGCCUGGGAAGUACGUCUGCAAGGAUGAAACUUAA